GAUGAACGCUGGCGGCGUGCCUAAUACAUGCAAGUCGAGCGAACGGACCAGAAGCUUUCUCCUCUGGUGUUAUCGGCGGACGGGUGAGUAACACGGGGAUAACCUACCUCUCAGACUGGGAUAACUACGGGAAACCGUAGCUAAUACCGGAUGAUAUUUUGAACCUCGUUGUUCAAAAGUGAAAUACGGUCGUUCGUUCACUAAUAGAUGGCUCCGCGCUGCAUUCGCUAGUUGGUAAGGUAACGGCUUACCAAGACAAGGAUGCAUAGCCGACCUGAGAGGAUGAUCGGUCACAGUGGAGCGAGGACGCGGACCAGCCCUCUACGUGAGGCAGGACCAGGACAUCUUCGGCAAUGGGCGGAAGCGUAUCUGAGCAACGCCGCGUGAGUGAGGUAGGGCUUCGCAGCGUAAAACUCUAUUAUUAUGGAAUAGUAUAUGUGUAAGUAACUGUACGAAUAUGGCCGGUCCGUAAUCAGAAACCCACGCUUAACUACUU
Molecule: ribosomal RNA, 496 nt
Filed under: uncultured bacterium
Lineage: Bacteria
Description: partial 16S ribosomal RNA
Rfam family: Bacterial small subunit ribosomal RNA
Source: RNAcentral